GACAGAGGGGGCAAGCGUUGCUCGGAAUCACUGGGCGUAAAGGGCGCGUAGGCGGGAUGGCAAGUCGGUCGUGAAAUCCUUCGGCUCAACCGAAGAACGUCGGCCGAUACUGCCGUUCUUGAGGGAUGCAGAGGAGAUUGGAAUUCCCGGUGUAGCGGUGAAAUGUGUAGAGAUCGGGAGGAACACCGGUGGCGAAGGCGGGUCUCUGGGCAGUUACUGACGCUGAGGAGCGAAAGCGUGGGGAGCGAACAGG
This 253-nucleotide ribosomal RNA is filed under the name uncultured bacterium. Its description in RNAcentral is "partial 16S ribosomal RNA". It matches the Rfam family "Bacterial small subunit ribosomal RNA", at positions 524 to 776 of the family's 1533-position model. The record is from RNAcentral.